Molecule: long non-coding RNA, 374 nt
Organism: Chinchilla lanigera (long-tailed chinchilla)
Lineage: Eukaryota; Metazoa; Chordata; Mammalia; Rodentia; Chinchillidae
Exons: 3
Source: RefSeq, a predicted model, not a curated record
UUCAGCCAGCAACAUAUCAGUGCACGAGGAUGUGUGUCUUUCCAGUGGAGCCUUGAGAAAGAUCCUGAACCAGAGAACCUAACCAAGUCAUUCCUGGGUUCUUGAUCCAUGGAAAUCAUGAAACAGGUAUUCUUUCCAAAGAUGGGGCAAAGAUGGAAAAUCAACAGCUAGAGGCUAUAUCUACUAGCUUGGACUCCAUGGAAAGAAGAGAUUGCUUCCACCUCAGUAGUUUCAUCAAGAAUCCAGGGCUGAAUCUCAGGGAAAGCUCUGGUCAACCAUUAUGGAGCUUUCCUUGGUCAUGACCUUCCACAAUGUUAUUUCUGCCUUGGAGCCAAAUUACCAUGGACUGAACCCACUGGAAACUGUAAGAUGAG